Molecule: small RNA, 377 nt
Filed under: Pongo abelii (Sumatran orangutan)
Lineage: Eukaryota; Metazoa; Chordata; Mammalia; Primates; Hominidae
Description: processed transcript
Source: RNAcentral
AUCUUUCCUUCACCAGACAACCAGGAAUACUUCGAGAGGCACCGCUGGCCCCCUGUGUGGUACCUGAAGGAAGAAGAUCACUACCAGCGUGUGAAAAGGGAACGAGAGAAGGAAGAUAUUGCACUAAAUAAGCAUCGCUCAAGACGAAAGUGGUGCUUCUGGAAUUCAUCUCCAGCAGUGGCCUGAAGAGGAAGAGAAAAAAAACAAAAAAACAAAAACCAGUCAGAUCAAAGCACAAGCUCACCAUCAAUGAGCCUGGACAAAAAGGGAAGCUGACUCUCACUGCAUUCCUUAAACUGAUAUGUAUAUUUUUUUUGUUAGGAGGCUUAAUAAACUUUAGUCUGUUAUUUUGUUUCUUUUUAUACAAAGAAAAAAAA